This 113-nucleotide ribosomal RNA is filed under the name Citrobacter freundii. RNAcentral describes it as "partial 23S ribosomal RNA". It matches the Rfam family "Bacterial large subunit ribosomal RNA", at positions 1 to 112 of the family's 2925-position model. RNAcentral also lists the same sequence under 5 other names. Lineage: Bacteria; Pseudomonadati; Pseudomonadota; Gammaproteobacteria; Enterobacterales; Enterobacteriaceae. The record is from RNAcentral.
GGUUAAGCGACUAAGCGUACACGGUGGAUGCCCUGGCAGUCAGAGGCGAUGAAGGACGUGCUAAUCUGCGAUAAGCGUCGGUAAGGUGAUAUGAACCGUUAUAACCGGCGAUU